UGUAAGUCUUAACUCUCAAAGUCAUUGUCUCUCAUUAGUGCAGAUGUUGCCUCUAGUAUUCAUUACAAUUUGUCUCCUAAAGGAGACUGCUGGUGAAGAUGUCAUAAAACCAGUCGUCACAGAGAAGCAUGUUUUGGAAGGAAAAGAUGUUACACUGAUCUGCAAAUACACUGAGACUGUUCGCAGUUUACAAUGGUAUCGUCAGUAUCCUGGAUCCAAACCUGAGAACCUCAUCACGUUCUAUGAGACCACUCCACAUAAAGAGACCACUCUCCGUCUGAACGCUGCGGCUGAUAAAACAGCCAAAAAUAUGAAUUUGACGAUCUCUUCUACAGAAGUGACAGACUCUGCCAUGUACUACUGUGCCCUGGUGCCCACAGUGACAGGAAACACAAGAACACUGUACAAAAACCCUCUUGUUAUUUAACAUUUAUCUUGCCACAGAAAGGUGAUUGGGUUUCUAUAUAUACGAUACACACACACACGACAUUAUACUUAACCAGUGGUUACCACACACUUUUUAAUUAUUAUUAUGAUUAUUAAAUCAGAUAAGAG
Non-coding RNA from Carassius auratus (goldfish), 555 nucleotides. The record is from the annotation of a RefSeq genome assembly. NCBI's taxonomy places the organism in Eukaryota, Metazoa, Chordata, Actinopteri, Cypriniformes, Cyprinidae.